This 72-nucleotide transfer RNA is filed under the name Bos taurus (domestic cattle). It matches the Rfam family "tRNA". From Rfam's summary of the family: Transfer RNA (tRNA) molecules are approximately 80 nucleotides in length. Lineage: Eukaryota; Metazoa; Chordata; Mammalia; Artiodactyla; Bovidae. The record is from Rfam by way of RNAcentral. RNAcentral also lists the same sequence under 2 other names.
UCCCUGAUAGCUUAGUUGGUAAAGAAUCUGCCUGCAGUGCAGGAGAUCUGGGUUCGAUUCCUGGGUUGGGAA